RNAcentral lists this ribosomal RNA (497 nucleotides) under uncultured bacterium. RNAcentral describes it as "partial 16S ribosomal RNA". It matches the Rfam family "Bacterial small subunit ribosomal RNA", at positions 28 to 507 of the family's 1533-position model. The record is from RNAcentral.
GACGAACGCUGGCGGCGUGCCUAAUACAUGCAAGUUGAGCGCUGAAGGUUGGUACUUGUACCGACUGGAUGAGCAGCGAACGGGUGAGUAACGCGUGGGGAAUCUGCCUUUGAGCGGGGGACAACAUUUGGAAACGAAUGCUAAUACCGCAUAAAAACUUUAAACACAAGUUUUAAGUUUGAAAGAUGCAAUUGCAUCACUCAAAGAUGAUCCCGCGUUGUAUUAGCUAGUUGGUGAGGUAAAGGCUCACCAAGGCGAUGAUACAUAGCCGACCUGAGAGGGUGGUCGGCCACAUUGGGACUGAGACACGGCCCAAACUCCUUCGGGAGGCAGCAGUAGGGAAUCUUCGGCAAUGGACGAAAGUCUGACCGAGCAACGCCGCGUGAGUGAAGAAGGGUUUCGGAUCGUAAAACUCUGUUGGUAGAGAAGAACGUUGGUGAGAGUGGAAAGCUCAUCAAGUGACGGUAACUACCCAGAAAGGGACGGCUAACUACGUG